AUUCAAGGAAUGUGUGUGAAGGCUGUGUAAAAGGGAAGCAUCACCGAGAGAAAUUUGAUCAAGGGGAAGCAUGGAGAGCCAAACAUCCACUGGAACUUGUGCAUACUGACCUCUGUGGACCAAUGCAGGCAGAAUCAAUUGGUGGGAAUAGGUACUUUCUUACCUUUAUUGAUGACUACUCUAGAAUGUGUUGGGUAUAUUUCCUCCGAAAUAAAUCUGACACAUUAAGUGUUUUCAAGAAAUUUAAAAUACUUGUUGAGACACAAAGUGGCUACUCUCUAAAAAAAUUGAGAAGUGAUAGAGGAGGAGAAUAUACCUCCUAUGAAUUUCAGAAUUAUUGUGCAAGUCUGGGUGUGGAGAGGCAGCUCACAGUAGCAUAUUCUCCUCAGCAGAAUGGAGUGGCUGAGAGGAGAAAUAGGACCAUAGGAGAAAUGGCAAGAUCAAUGUUGAUUGAGAAAGGAAUACCCACUGAAUUCUGGGGAGAGGCAGUGAAUAUUGCUGUGUAUCUUCAAAAUAGGUGUGUUACAUCAGCUGUGGAGGGUAAGACACCAUUUGAAGCCUUCACGGGAAGGAAGCCUGGAAUUAAACACUUAAGGGUGUUUGGGUGUGUAUGUUACACACUCAUUCCAGCAGCACUAAGACAGAAACUGGACAGUAAGGCAGAGAAGGGAGUGUUUAUGGGUUAUGGAAGUUGUGAGAAAGGAUAUCGGGUGUAUAUUCUGGAUUCAAAGAAGAUAGUGCUGUCAAGAAGUGUUGUUUUUUAUGAGAGCAGGUUCUGGAAUUGGACUGAAAAUCACAUGGAAUCAGUCACACAGCAACUAAGGUUUGAAUGCAACAAAGAAGAGAGUGAAGUAGAAGAAACAAAUGUAGAUGUUGCACAGAAUUAUGAUGGCAUUGAUCAGUUAAGCUCACCUGCAAAUGGUUCAGUGACAGAAUCAGUUGAGAAUAUCAGUCAAGGAUCAUCACCUAGUUCAACUCCAGUGAAGUUAAGGAGCAUUGAAGACAUUUAUAAUAGAUGUCACAUGAGCUUCAUUGAACCAGAAAAUUAUCAAGAAGCAGCAAAGAGUAAAGACUGGCAGGAUGCAAUGAGAACUGAAUUAGAGAUGAUAGAGAAGAAUCAUACCUGGGAGCUGAUUGACAGACCUUCUGAUGCGCCUGUGAUAGGUGUGAAAUGGGUCUUCAAGACAAAGCUCAAUCUUGAUGGGUCCAUACACAAGCAUAAGGCUAGACUUGUAGCCAAGGGAUAUGCUCAAAAACCAGGGGUGGAUUACAAUGAGACUUUUGCUCCAGUAGCAAGGUUGGAUACUAUAAGGACUCUCAUUGCGUUGGCAGCUCAAAAGGGUUGGAAAUUAUUCCAACUAGAUGUUAAGUCAGCAUUUCUAAAUGGAAUGCUUGACGAGGAGGUGUAUGUGGAGCAACCCGAGGGGUUUGAAGUGAAGGGGUCCAGCCACAAGGUGUAUAAACUAUACAAGGCUCUAUAUGGACUUAAACAAGCCCCUAGAGCCUGGUAUGGUGAAAUCGAUGCUUAUCUUACAAGUUGCAAAUUUGAAAGGAGUGCAAGUGAAGCAACUUUGUACACCAGAAGUGAUAGUGAAGGAGGCCAGAUCAUUAUCUCAAUAUAUGUUGAUGAUAUAGUGUAUACUGGAAGUAGUGAAAGGAUGAUGACUGAGUUUAAGAGGGAGAUGAUGCAGAGGUAUGAAAUGUCAGACCUAGGGCUUCUUCAUCACUUUCUAGGGAUUGGUGUAUUGCAGACCAAUCAAGGAGUUUUUAUUCACCAAAGUAAGUAUGCUAAGUCUCUACUUACUAAGUUCGGACUUGAGGACUGCAAUCCAGUUGCAAUUCCUCUAACCGUGGGUGAAAAAUUAAAGAAGGAGGAUGGCAGUGAACCUGCAGAUGAAGGGUUGUAUAGAAGGAUAGUG
Molecule: long non-coding RNA, 1919 nt
Filed under: Populus trichocarpa (black cottonwood)
Lineage: Eukaryota; Viridiplantae; Streptophyta; Magnoliopsida; Malpighiales; Salicaceae
Description: long non-coding RNA (PTRI_LNC003579)
Source: RNAcentral